GUGUCAGCCGCCGCGGUAAUACGUAGGGUGCGAGCGUUAAUCGGAAUUACUGGGCGUAAAGCGUGCGCAGGCGGCUUUGCAAGACAGAUGAGAAAUCCCCGGGCUCAACCUGGGAACUGCAUUUGUGACUGCAUGGCUAGAGUGCGGCAGAGGGGGAUGGAAUUCCGCGUGUAGCAGUGAAAUGCGUAGAUAUGCGGAGGAACACCGAUGGCGAAGGCAAUCCCCUGGGCCUGCGCUGACGCUCAUGCACGAAAGCGUGGGGAGCAAACAGGAUUAGAAACCCCCGUAGUCC
Molecule: ribosomal RNA, 292 nt
Filed under: uncultured Comamonadaceae bacterium
Lineage: Bacteria; Pseudomonadati; Pseudomonadota; Betaproteobacteria; Burkholderiales; Comamonadaceae
Description: partial 16S ribosomal RNA
Rfam family: Bacterial small subunit ribosomal RNA
Source: RNAcentral